This 460-nucleotide ribosomal RNA is filed under the name uncultured bacterium. RNAcentral's name for it is "partial 16S ribosomal RNA". It matches the Rfam family "Bacterial small subunit ribosomal RNA", at positions 338 to 795 of the family's 1533-position model. The record is from RNAcentral.
CCUACGGGUGGCAGCAGUGAGGAAUAUUGGUCAAUGGACGCGAGUCUAAACCAGCCAAGUCGCGUGCAGGAUGACUGCUCUAUGGGUUGUAAACUUCUUUUAUAUGGGAAUAAAAUGUUCCACGUGUGGGAUUUUGUAUGUACCAUAUGAAUAAGGAUCGGCUAACUCCGUGCCAGCAGCCGCGGUAAGACGGAGGAUCCGAGCGUUAUCCGGAUUUAUUGGGUUUAAAGGGUGCGUAGGUGGUUGGUUAAGUCAGUUGUGAAAUUUUGCGGCUCAACCGGAAAAUUGCAGUUGAAACUGUCAGUCGUGAGUACAGUAGAGGUGGGCGGAAUGCGUGGUGUAGCGGUGAAAUGCUUAGAGAUCACGAAGAACUCCGAUUGCGAAGGCAGCUCACUGGACUGCAACUGACACUGAGGCUCGAAAGUGUGGGUAUCAAACAGGAUUAGAUACCCCUGUAGUC